This 261-nucleotide ribosomal RNA is filed under the name uncultured archaeon. RNAcentral's name for it is "partial 16S ribosomal RNA". It matches the Rfam family "Archaeal small subunit ribosomal RNA", at positions 748 to 1009 of the family's 1478-position model. The record is from RNAcentral.
UAGCCGUAAACGAUACUCGCUAGGUGUCGGCCACGGUGCGACCGUUGUCGGUGCCGUAGGGAAGCCGUGAAGCGAGCCACCUGGGAAGUACGGCCGCAAGGCUGAAACUUAAAGGAAUUGGCGGGGGAGCACCACAACGGGUGGAGCUUGCGGUUUAACUGGAUUCAACGCCGGAAAUCUUACCGGGACCGACAGCAACAUGAAGGCCAGGCUGAAGACUUUGCCGGAUUAGCUGAGAGGAGGUGCAUGGCGUAGUCGUGU